This is a long non-coding RNA of Venturia canescens, 922 nucleotides long. RefSeq lists it as uncharacterized. The record is from RefSeq and is a predicted model, not a curated record. Lineage: Eukaryota; Metazoa; Arthropoda; Insecta; Hymenoptera; Ichneumonidae. The transcript is spliced from 2 exons.
AAAAAUUGGGUGUGUCAUUCUGUUCCCUUAAAACGAAAACAAUUCGGACGAGCUCGAUUAUCAUCCGAGCAUCGAUUCAUCCUUGGAAGGCAGUCGAAGUUGAAUUUUCUCGUGUCAGAUGGCAAAAAUGAUGAAAACCCUGUGUAGUUUCUCGUAAACGGUAGGUUAGGGUAUCAGUUCCUUUAAAUAGACGCUCAACGAACAUCGCCAUUGGAAGUGUGUGCUAGUGAUGGCACAGCUGAACAUUGAUCGCUAACGUAGAUAUAUAUGGCAGAUCUGCUCAGUGGGUGUUGUCACGUGGUCGCUUCAAGUAGCUUGUGUGUUCGGCUCCCGAUGCGCGUUUCGAACCUCCAUGGUGUCUCGGCACCAUGGAAAUAUUCGAGCGCCUGCACGGUUGAGUCCUCACGUCGCUCCUCGAACUACCGCGAUUUCCAAAUUGGGGGGCAAAUCGAAUAGGUCAGACGAGAUCAACGGAAAAGAGGUUAAACACUCCCGAGUGGUCGAGUGGAAAAAGACGGAGAGAACCGGCGUUGCCAAAUUGUAAACUUUGAGAUGCUCGCGAAUCGUUGGACUGACUUUUUUUUCAUUUUUAUACUUCAAUGCGAAUUUAAAGGAUUGCAUAAGGAAAAUUUGAGUUAUUGGAAAUAAUUUUUUCCCAUGCGUCAAUAAUAUUGGUUACAAGUCUCAAGUUUUAGCAGAAUGUUUAUUAAUGAAAUUUUUCUUCGGACUGAUUAAAAAAAAAAUGUUGGCAUUUUAAUUCCAGCAUCUAAAAUUCUUUUUCGCAAUAAUAAAAAUUGUUUCUGAAAAAUGUUGAAUGAAAAGGAUAUUUUGACAGCACUGUUAUCGAGGACUUGAAGAAAAUGAUGACACUCGGCAACACGUGUGAACUUUGUUUCGAAUAAAUGUUAUUUCAGUAAAUCGA